GACGAACGCUGGCGGCGUGCUUAACACAUGCAAGUCGAACGGACAGGCCCUGCUCUUGUGGCGUGCUCGAGUGGCGAACGGGUGAGUAACACGUGAGUAACCUGCCCUUGACUUUGGGAUAACUUCAGGAAACUGGGGCUAAUACCGGAUAGGAGCUCCUGCUGCAUGGUGGGGGUUGGAAAGUUUCGGCGGUUGGGGAUGGACUCGCGGCUUAUCAGCUUGUUGGUGUGGUAGUGGCUUACCAAGGCUUUGACGGGUAGCCGGCCUGAGAGGGUGAACGGCCACCUUGGGACUGAGAUACGGCCCAGAAUCCUACGGGAGGCAGCAGUGGGGAACAUUGCACAAUGGGCGGAAGCCUGAUGCAGCAACGCCGCGUGCGGGAUGACGGCCUACGGGUUGUAAACCGCUUUCGCAUGUGACGAAGAGUGAGUGACGGUAAUGGGUAAAGAAGCACCGGCUAACUACGUG
RNAcentral lists this ribosomal RNA (468 nucleotides) under uncultured bacterium. RNAcentral's name for it is "partial 16S ribosomal RNA". It matches the Rfam family "Bacterial small subunit ribosomal RNA", at positions 28 to 507 of the family's 1533-position model. The record is from RNAcentral.